RNAcentral lists this ribosomal RNA (431 nucleotides) under Symplocodes marmorata tsaii. RNAcentral's name for it is "partial 16S ribosomal RNA". It matches the Rfam family "Bacterial large subunit ribosomal RNA", at positions 1829 to 2523 of the family's 2925-position model. The record is from RNAcentral. Lineage: Eukaryota; Metazoa; Arthropoda; Insecta; Blattodea; Blattellidae.
CUUCCCUUGAGUAUUUUGGGGAUAUGACCUGCCCACUGAAAUAAAUUUGAAGGGCCGCGGUAAUUUGACCGUGCAAAGGUAGCAUAAUCAUUAGUUUCUUAAUUAGGAACUGGAAUGAAUGGUUGGAUGAAAUAUAUACUGUCUUAAUUUAAUUUAUUGAAUUUAAUUAUUAGGUUAAAAAGCCUAAAUUAAUUUAUGGGACGAGAAGACCCUAUAGAAUUUGAUAAUUUUAGUUGUAUAAUUAUGUAUGAAUUUUAUUUAUAAUUUGAAUUAUUUUGUUGGGGUGAUAAGAAGAUAAAAUAAACUCUUUUUAUUUAAGUUAUAUUGAUUAAUAUGUUGUUGAUCCAAUAAUAAUGAUUAUAAGAUUAAAUUACCUUAGGGAUAACAGCGUAAUCUUUCUUGAGAGUUCAUAUCGAUAGAAGGGGUUGCGA